Small nucleolar RNA from Setaria italica (foxtail millet), 139 nucleotides. It matches the Rfam family "Small nucleolar RNA Z247". Rfam says of the family: Z247 is a member of the C/D class of snoRNA which contain the C (UGAUGA) and D (CUGA) box motifs. Most of the members of the box C/D family function in directing site-specific 2'-O-methylation of substrate RNAs. The record is from Rfam. NCBI's taxonomy places the organism in Eukaryota, Viridiplantae, Streptophyta, Magnoliopsida, Poales, Poaceae.
GUCAUCAACGAUGAUGAGGUGGUUGCUCACCUACUUAAUGGUUUAGAUUAUGAUUAUCACCCCUUUGUUUCCUCUAUGAUGGGCCGGUCAGGAGAUCUUUCACUUUCUGAAUUAUAUUCGCUACUUAUGGAGUACGAUC